AGUGAACGCUGGCGGUAGGCCUAACACAUGCAAGUCGAACGGCAGCACAGUAAGAGCUUGCUCUUACGGGUGGCGAGUGGCGGACGGGUGAGGAAUACAUCGGAAUCUACUUUUUCGUGGGGGAUAACGUAGGGAAACUUACGCUAAUACCGCAUACGACCUACGGGUGAAAGCAGUGGAUCUUCGGACCUUGCGCGAUUGAAUGAGCCGAUGUCGGAUUAGAUAGUUGGCGGGGUAAAGGCCCACCAAGGCGACGAUCCGUAGCUGGUCUGAGAGGAUGGUCGACCACACGGGAACUGAGACACGGUCCAGACUCCUACGGGAGGCAGCAGUGGGGAAUUUUGGACAAUGGGCGCAAGCCUGAUCCAGCCAUACCGCGUGGGUGAAGAAGGCCUUCGGGUUGUAAAGCCCUUUUGUUGGGAAAGAAAAGCAGCAGGUUAAUACCCCGCUGUUCUGACGGUACCCAAAGAAUAAGCACCGGCUAACUUCGUG
Molecule: ribosomal RNA, 492 nt
Filed under: uncultured bacterium
Lineage: Bacteria
Description: partial 16S ribosomal RNA
Rfam family: Bacterial small subunit ribosomal RNA
Source: RNAcentral